GUUGAACGCUGGCGGCAGGCUUAACACAUGCAAGUCGAGCGAGGUGAUGGUGCUUGCACUAUCACUUAGCGGCGGACGGGUGAGUAAUGCUUAGGAAUCUGCCUAUUAGUGGGGGACAACAUCUCGAAAGGGAUGCUAAUACCGCAUACGUCCUACGGGAGAAAGCAGGGGAUCACUUGUGACCUCGCGCUAAUAGAUGAGCCUAAGUCGGAUUAGCUAGUUGGUGGGGUAAAGGCCUACCAAGGCGACGAUCUGUAGCGGGUCUGAGAGGAUGAUCCGCCACACUGGGACUGAGACACGGCCCAGACUCCUACGGGAGGCAGCAGUGGGGAAUAUUGGACAAUGGGGGGAACCCUGAUCCAGCCAUGCCGCGUGUGUGAAGAAGGCCUUAUGGUUGUAAAGCACUUUAAGCGAGGAGGAGGCUCUUUUGGUUAAUACCCAAGAUGAGUGGACGUUACUCGCAGAAUAAGCACCGGCUAACUCUGUGCCAGCCGCCGCGGUAA
This 503-nucleotide ribosomal RNA is filed under the name uncultured bacterium. RNAcentral describes it as "partial 16S ribosomal RNA". It matches the Rfam family "Bacterial small subunit ribosomal RNA", at positions 28 to 523 of the family's 1533-position model. The record is from RNAcentral.